UAAUUUUUCGUUCAUUCGUUUUGCAUCUGUUUCUGUUGUUUGAUUUCGCUAUUGGAUUUCAAAUAGUUUAGUUGUGCAUUUUCUCCAACGUUUGUGAACAAAAUUGUAAUCAGAAUAUAAUAUAUAUAGUGCGCAAAUAAAUUAACUUUCUGCACUGAUAUUUGAAAUUAUAGAACGCAAUGCGUUCGUUAUUAUACGUUUUAUUCGCUUUGCUAGCGAGCGCUACUGCGCAAAAGCUGGAGAAGAUGAAUACGAUUUCGGAUAAUAUGGGCAAAGUGUAUCACUAUCAGCCGGAACAAGUGCACUUGGCAUUUGGUGAAACCACACGCGACAUCGUUGUAACUUGGUCCACACGCGACGAUACUAAAGCGUCUAUCUGUGAAUAUGGCCUUGAAACGUUUGAGUUUAUGCAAAAUGCAACAGAGCCACCAAAAAAGUUUGUGGAUGGCGGCAGCGCGCACAGCGCACAAUACAUACAUCGUGUGACCUUGUCCAAUUUGGCACCAGAAAAGCGUUAUAUUUACCAUUGCGGCAGCACGCUUGGCUGGUCGCCGCAAUUUUGGUUCCGCACACCACCGACGCAUGCGCAUUGGUCACCCACGCUGGCGAUUUACGGUGAUUUGGGCAAUGAGAAUGCGCAGUCAUUGCCGCGCUUGCAGCAGGACACGCAACGCGGCAUGUACGAUGCGAUUUUGCAUGUGGGCGAUUUCGCUUACGAUAUGCAUUCGGAGAAUGCCGCUGUUGGCGAUGAGUUCAUGCGUCAAGUGGAGGCCAUAGCAGCUUAUGUGCCCUAUAUGGUGUGUGCGGGCAAUCAUGAGCAGACCUACAAUUUUUCGAAUUAUCGCGCGCGCUUUCACAUGCCUGGCGGCACGGAAAAUCUAUUUUAUAGCUUCGAUUUGGGUCCCAUACACUUUGUUGCCUUCUCAACGGAGCUCUACUACUUUCUACACUAUGGCUUGAAGAGUUUAGUUUCGCAGUACGAGUGGCUGGUGCGUGAUUUAGAGAUGGCGAAUCGACCAGAGAAUCGCAAAGCGCGUCCUUGGAUUAUAACCUUUGCACAUCGGCCGAUGUAUUGUAGCAAUAAUAAUGGCAAUGACUGUUCAAAGCAUGAGACGGUUGUGCGCACUGGUUUGCCGGUGCUGCAUAUGUUCGGCCUGGAGCAAUUGUUUUAUGAGCAGGGCGUCGAUGUGGCAAUAUGGGCGCAUGAACAUUGCUAUGAGCGCUUGUGGCCCAUUUAUGAUUACAAAGUGUUUAAUGGCUCUUUGGCCGCGCCUUAUCGCAAUCCACGCGCGCCUGUGCAUAUCAUAACCGGUUCGGCGGGUAAUAAGGAGGGGCGUGAGCCUUUCUUUAAAGUGAUGCCCAAGUGGAGCGCGUUUCACAGUCAGGAUUUCGGUUAUACACGUCUCAAGGCGUAUAACGGCACACAUUUAUACUUUGAACAGGUGUCCGAUGACAAAGAUGGACAAAUUAUUGAUGCAUUUUGGGUUGUCCAGGACAAGCAUGGCAGUUAUGUCGAGGAAUAAGCGUAAAGUGUAAAGAGACAUGAAAAAUAACAAUAAUAAUAAUUUUGAUAUUUUAACUUAUUUUCUAUCUUAUAUACAAUAACGGUAUAAGCUGUGAAUUUCACCAAAAAUUUUGCAAACUAGUUCUGCAAAAGCAAAGUAUUUAGUCAAAAGUAAUCUCUAAUCCCAUAAUAUUAUAUGUUUGUAUUUUUUUAUUAUAUAUUUAUGCAUUUUAUGACAAAAACUAUCAAAAUAUAUUUUAAAACUACAAAAUAUGCAUUCCUAAUAGAAAAAAAAUCAUAAAACGAUGGCUGUGUGAAAAUUUGCCUUGUAAACGAAAAUUUUAAAAUUUAAAAAUUAAAUUUAAUUUUUAAUGAAAUUUAAAAAUUAAAAUUAAUUAAAUUGAUUUAAAAUAAAUACAACUGAAUUAAAUUUUAUUGUGAAAAGUCUUUAAAUAAUUUUAAAAAGCUCCUAUCAACAUUUUUAUUAAAAAAAAAUUAACAUUUGUUUCAAAAUUAUGAAAUUAAUUAAAAAAACAUGUAACAGCAAAAAAACUUAAUGAAUAUUUCUUUUAUAUUGUUUCAACUAAACUAUCGUUUUUUAUGUUUAUGUUAUUUGUUUAUGCCUCUUAUUUUAUUAUGUUUGUAUUAUUUGUUUAUGCCACUUGUUUUUUUUAUUCAUUAUAGCAAUAAUUUUUCAUUUAUUUUUUAUUAUUUCAUUAAUUCUCUUAUUUUUUUGUUUUAAUAUUGUAACAUUUAUUAAUGUUUUAUUUUAUUUUUUUGUUGUUGUUACUGCAUUUAAUUAAUUAUAAUUUAUUUAUUUAUUUUUUGUUUUUGUUAUUGCAUUUUUGUUUUGAUUAUUAUUAUUUUUACUUUUUAUUUUAUUUUUUAUAUAUAUUUUUUCAAUUAUUUAUUUUUUAUUAUAUUUUUUAUUUUUCAAUUAUAAAUAUUUUACACUUAUAACUCUGCAUUUGCCAAAUAUUAUAUAUUUUCUAUUAUAUACAAAUAUUUAUAUUAUUAAAUAAUUAUUUACAAUUAUAAAUAUACUUAAUCUCAAUUAUUAACAAAUAAAAGCCAUAUUACAAAGCAUGUCGCCGCAUGUGACUAUUAUUUGUAGGAAAAAAUUUAUUUUACCAAACAAUUUAGCUUUUCAACUUAAUCUUCAAUCAAAAUUAAAGAUUUUUCAUCCUAUUAUACCCUGAACAUUAAGUUUGCCACGCAGUUUGUCAUACGCAGAAGCAAACAUCGGAGACCCUAUAAAAUAUAUAGCUGUGCCGAUUUAGCCAUGUUCGUCUGUAUAUGUGCGAACCAGAGCCUUAGCUUUUGAGAUAUCGCUCUGAAAUUUUGCACACGUCUUUUUCUACACAAGGAGCUGCGCAUUUGUCGGAAGUGCCGAUAUCGGACCACUAUAGCAUAUAGCUGUCUUACAAACUGAUUAAUCGAAAUCAAAAAAAGUUCUUUGUAUAGCCCUUUUGUGAUAUAAAAAAUUAAAUUUUUGUUUUAUAUGGAAACAUAUGCUAGGUUGGGCUGCUUUUAAUCUCAACUGUUAUAUAUGUAUAUGCAAGAUAUUGUGUGUUGUUGUUAUUAUUAUUAUUGUUGUUGCUAAUGUGGCAUAAAACAUGCAUACACUUUAUAUAUGCCACUGAAUCCAGCCCAAGUUGAUUAUAAAUCAGUGUUCGUAAUUUGCAUCACAUCAUAUGAGGCUAAGUUAGGUUAUUCGAUUUGCAUGAAUGUUCGACUUAAAGAAAUAAUAUUUUACCAAGCUAACUUAAACUGAUUCGAAAACAUAUAGUAACUCUCGUUAAGCUUUAAUUAUACUUCAUACGAUUUGAGCAGGUGUAAUGUGAUGUGUUGAUUUUGAUAUACAUAUGUAAAUACUUUCUAGGGUUAAGUAUGAUUUCAUGCAAUGUGCGUGUUGUUGUUGCUGUUAUGUCGAAGUUGUAAUGUGAGUGAUGCAAUGUGCUGUUAUGUAUAAAUUUAUACACUAAAUUGUACUAAUUUUUUUAUUAUGUUGCGAUUUGAUGCGUUAUUGGUGAUGUGAUAUUAUGUCAUAUGCCAUGUUGUGAUGUGAUGUGGUGAUGUGACCUAUAUUAUUUUUUUCUGGCUUUUUAUGCAAACAUUUUUUAACUUCAUGUCAACUUAUUUUAACGCUUAAACAGCUUUCAACAUGAUAUGCGAUCAUUAUUGUGUUGUUUAUAGUGAUGUGAUGUACCUUAACAUACACUUAAGUUUUAAUUGAAAAUCAUUUAUAUGUACAUAUGCAAUUUCUUUCACAAGAUAACCUCUCUGACAUUGUCGUCACCUGGUCCACACGCGAUGCCACCAACCAGUCAGUCGUGCUGUACGGCGAAAACUACGCCGACGCAAAGAGUUUGGUCAACGUCACAGGCGAUGCGCGUCGUUUUGUCGAUGGCGGCCGCAAGCAUCACACACAAUACAUACACAAAGUAACGCUGCGUUUCUUGAAGCCGCAGACGCGUUAUGAAUACUCGUGUGGCAGUGAAUUGGGCUGGUCUGCGCGCUUCAGCUUUACCACGCCGCCGGCAGGCAGCGACUGGCAGCUGAGUUUGGCCAUCUUUGGCGAUAUGGGCAAUGAGAAUGCGCAGUCAUUGGCGCGUUUGCAGCAGGACACGCAGCAGGGUAUGUACGACGCCAUCAUACAUGUGGGUGACUUCGCUUACGACAUGGAUACGGAAAAUGCGCUUGUGGGCGAUGAAUUUAUGCGGCAAGUGGAAACGAUUGCGGCCUAUGUGCCAUACAUGGUGUGUCCUGGCAAUCACGAGGAGAAAUAGUGAGUGUGCAAAGCGUUGCUAAUAUUUAUAUUUGUUAAAUAAUAGAAAAAAAUUUUAAAUGCUUAGUAAUUUUUCGAAUUACAAAACGCGUUUCAAUAUGCCCGGCGAAAGGGAUAGCCUGUGGUAUAGUUUUGAUUUGGGGCCCGUACACUUUGUGUCCUUCUCCACCGAGGUCUAUUACUUCUUGAAAUAUGGCUUCAAAUUGCUUACGAAACAAUUCGAGUGGCUGGAGAAUGAUCUGCGUGUAGCCAAUAAACCGGAGAAUCGUGCACAACGCCCCUGGAUCAUAACUUAUGGUCAUCGUCCGAUGUACUGUAGCGACGACAAGGAGUACGAUUGCAAUGAGAAGUUGGAGACAUUCAUAAGACAGGGUUUGCCAUUGGUGAAAAUGUUCGGUUUGGAGGAUUUGUUCUACAAAAAUGGCGUCGACGUGGAGAUCUUCGCGCACGAACAUUUCUACACGCGCCUCUGGCCUAUUUAUGAUUUCAAAGUGUAUAAUGGUUCGACAGCAGCACCUUACACCAAUCCUAAAGCGCCGAUACAGAUCAUAACCGGCUCGGCUGGCUGCAAAGAGCAACGCGAACCAUUCUCCGAGACGCUGCCCUCGUGGAACGCCUACCACAGCAAUGAUUAUGGCUACACGCGCAUGAAGGCCUACAAUAGCACACAUCUGUACUUCGAACAAGUUUCGGAUGAUAAAAAUGGCGAAAUUGUCGACUCGUUUUGGAUAAUCAAAGACAAGCAUGUGGCUUACAAUGAGUUGUGAAAGACAACGCCGGCGGUGUGUUAAAUAAAUAACUGUACUUUUGAAAUUUGGCUGUAAAACGGGCUGCUUGAAAUUUGAACAACAAAUGGAAGAACAAACAUAUUUUUGAACAAUAGAUAUUACAAUAAUUUACUCUUACCUAGCUGGACCUUAUAAUUAUAGUUAUUUCUUUUAAAAAAUUAAUUUGCUAUAAAUGUAACUUAAAACACUAAUAAUGUAGAAAUGGUUUUAUGCAAUAAAAAAUAUUUAAGUAAAUAAAAUUAGAAAAAUUA
Non-coding RNA from Bactrocera oleae (olive fruit fly), 5331 nucleotides. Lineage: Eukaryota; Metazoa; Arthropoda; Insecta; Diptera; Tephritidae. The record is from RefSeq and is a predicted model, not a curated record.